UACGGGGGGAGCAAGCGUUGUUCGGAUUUACUGGGCGUAAAGGGCGCGUAGGCGGCCAGCACAAGUCAGUUGUGAAAUCUCCGAGCUUAACUCGGAAAGGUCAACUGAUACUGUGCGGCUAGAGUGCGGAAGGGGCAACUGGAAUUCUUGGUGUAGCGGUGAAAUGCGUAGAUAUCAAGAGGAACACCUGCGACGAAGGCGGGUUGCUGGGCCGACACUGACGCUGAUGCGCGAAAGCUAGGGGAGCGAACGGG
This 254-nucleotide ribosomal RNA is filed under the name uncultured bacterium. RNAcentral's name for it is "partial 16S ribosomal RNA". It matches the Rfam family "Bacterial small subunit ribosomal RNA", at positions 524 to 776 of the family's 1533-position model. The record is from RNAcentral.